This is a non-coding RNA of Daucus carota subsp. sativus, 154 nucleotides long. The record is from Rfam. Lineage: Eukaryota; Viridiplantae; Streptophyta; Magnoliopsida; Apiales; Apiaceae.
AUACUUACCUGGAUGGGGUCAAUGGGUGAUCAUUGAGGCCCAUGGCCUAGGGAAGCAACUUCCAUUGCACUUUGGAAGUUCCUAAGGUCUACCCAAGUGGUGGACCUACAUCAUAAUUUGUGUUAGGGGGGGCUUGCGUCCGCGCAGCCCCCGC